Molecule: ribosomal RNA, 474 nt
Filed under: uncultured bacterium
Lineage: Bacteria
Description: bacterial SSU rRNA
Rfam family: Bacterial small subunit ribosomal RNA
Source: RNAcentral
UCUACUGAAAGAGUUUUCGGACAAUGGAUGUAGAGGAAAGUGGCGGACGGGUGAGUAACGCGUGAGGAACCUGCCCUUCAGAGGGGGACAACAGUUGGAAACGACUGCUAAUACCGCAUACGAUCUAAUCUCGGCAUCGAGGAUAGAUGAAAGGUGGCCUCUAUUUAUAAGCUAUCACUGAAGGAGGGGAUUGCGUCUGAUUAGCUAGUUGGAGGGGUAACGGCCCACCAAGGCGAUGAUCAGUAGCCGGUCUGAGAGGAUGAACGGCCACAUUGGGACUGAGACACGGCCCAGACUCCUACGGGAGGCAGCAGUGGGGAAUUUUGGACAAUGGGGGCAACCCUGAUCCAGCCAUGCCGCGUGCAGGAUGAAGGCCUUCGGGUUGUAAACUGCUUUUGUCAGGGACGAAAAGGAUCGUGAUAAUACCAUGGUCUGCUGACGGUACCUGAAGAAUAAGCACCGGCUAACUACGUG